GAUGAACGCUGGCGGCGUGCUUAACACAUGCAGGUCGAACGAGAAGUGAAGACGGAAACCUUCGGGCGGAAGGCUUUAUUUCGAGUGGCGGACGGGUGAGUAACGCGUGGGUAACCUGCCUCAUACAGGGGGAUAACAGUUCGAAACGACUGUUAAUACCGCAUAAGUCCACAGCACCGCAUGGUGCGGGGGUAAAAACUCCGGUGGUAUGAGAUGGACCCGCGUUCGAUUAGCCAGUUGGCGGGGUAACGGCCCACCAAAGCGACGAUCGAUAGCCGAUCUGAGAGGAUGACCGGCCACAUUGGGACUGAGACACGGCCCAAACUCCUACGGGAGGCAGCAGUGGGGAAUAUUGCACAAUGGGGGAAACCCUGAUGCAGCGACGCCGCGUGAGUGAAGAAGUAUUUCGGUAUGUAAAGCUCUAUCAGCAGGGAAGAAAAUGACGGUACCUGAGUAAGAAGCCCCGGCUAACUACGUG
RNAcentral lists this ribosomal RNA (478 nucleotides) under uncultured bacterium. Its description in RNAcentral is "partial 16S ribosomal RNA". It matches the Rfam family "Bacterial small subunit ribosomal RNA", at positions 28 to 507 of the family's 1533-position model. The record is from RNAcentral.